Molecule: long non-coding RNA, 1865 nt
Organism: Panicum virgatum (switchgrass)
Lineage: Eukaryota; Viridiplantae; Streptophyta; Magnoliopsida; Poales; Poaceae
Exons: 4
Source: RefSeq, a predicted model, not a curated record
CUCCCCUUCCCGAAGUUUUCUUUGUCGAAGCCGCCCGGAGAGUCGAGCGAGGCCAUUGUCGUGGAGGUUGAGCGGAGGGCUUCAGAGGUAGCGGGGCCGUACCUUUCUAAGGAGUAAGAUUUUUCUUUGUUAUCUGCUGCUCAGGGGGGAUCCGAGUGAACCGAUCUUUCACUGUUAUGGGUGUGAAGUACCCGGAUCGGGAAGAGCCCAAGAAACUCGAGAAGAGGAGCAAGGGUGUUUCGGGCAAAGAUCCCGCUGCUAAGAAAAGGAAGAUUUCGUCUGCCGUGGUCGAGUUGUCAAAGGGUAACCCGAAGGUUCCGACGGCGAGGCCACCUCACCCGCCACCGAAGGUUCCUUCAUCAAAGAAAGAUGUUGCUACGAUGAUGGCGGAAUUGAGCCAUGUGAUAGAAGCUGGUGCCGCGGGGGUGCCUCCUCCCUCGGGUGACGGCUCUUCGCACACCGAGGCGUGUCGGCUGGAGAAGGAGCUCUUCGAUGUCAAAGGUAUUUUUGUAAACCUUGGUAUAAUGCGUGGUGGAUCAUUUUAAUGGUUAUGGGUUCUUCGUGGCCAGGUUUCAAGAAAGAACUCGAAGGUUAUGGUAUCGGGGACUUGGGCUGGGUAAUAGCGGCGAUGAAUGCGAAGGCUCUUGUAGCUGGAGGUAUGCUGCUUCGGAAGGCGAAGACUGAGUCCGAUAGGAUGCUUUAUUCUUCGGCUGAAAGACUUGGGCUGGUUGUUGACAACGAGCGCUUAAAUAAAGUGGUUGCGACGCUCCAAAAUGUUGAAGACCUUUGGGGUAAACAGAAUGAGGAACUGGAAGAGAAGGUUAGACAUCAAGAUGUUGCUAUUGCCGAGAUGCAGAAAGAGUUGGACUCGAGGGAGGCAACCAUCGAAGGUUUGAGGCAGGAGGUUGUUAAGGGAGUUGACAACACUAAGAAGGCUGAAGGUCUUGCCAUUCAACUUUCUGCCGAAUGUUCCAAAAAAAGAUGUGCUGAUUGAGAAAUUGCAAAAAGAGGCUCAAGAGAAUAUGCAGCUGCUCAGUGAUGCAAGUGACGUCAUUGAGGAAAAGAGCGACGCUAUCUUCGAAGCUUACCGUGACGCACUUGCUACUUUCGAGGCGGAGCCCGAGCCUUUGGUGAAGUCUGGUGGGCCGGAGGUUUCUGGUUUGCUAGACUGGAUGCUAAAGGAGUUUGCAGUCUUGGGGAAUAUCUUGACAAAUAUUUCAGACAACUCGGCAGUUAUCUCGUGCGAGAAUGCUUUCGUGUUGCUCAAGCACGAAGGCUGCCAAGACUUGGACAAGAUUGCCGCUCCCGGGUAUCAGUUCCCGUAGUCUUCAGAGUUGGAAGCUUGCACUGACAGGAUUCAAUCUGUGAAAAGGGCUUUUCUGCAAAGGUUCUGGUUAUCUGCUGGACGGCAAGUUUUGCGGGAUACCGCCCGCCAACGUCUUGAAGAGUCCAAGCGAGCUCGUGAAGCUGCGAAGAGUAUUGUGAACGAGGGUGCUGAUGCUGAGGAGAUCGCCGGGACGUCUGGCGUGGCUAGGAGCGAUGACGAAGAGAGCCCGAAGAUCUUGGAGUUUAGUUUAUGAAAUGAACUCGAGACUUUUAUAACUUUUGUCUGUGGAUGCUGAUGUAAAUAUUCCCACCCUGGCCAGGUAAUCGUGUCGGCAGGACGAACUCUUAUUGCGGCGCCCCUGCGGGUCAGAUGUGACGGUGUUGCUGCGCUCUGGUCUGAUUGGGAGCGGUUCAGCUUCGAGCAUCCUGGCGCGAGUGUUGCCGAGUUUUUGGAUGCUAGCGGAGCUAGGAGUAUUUAAAUCGUUUUGUGUGGUGAAUGAUACUCUCUUGAGGUGAAAAAUGUUGACCUUAUGUUUGAU